GGCGUGUACUGCUUGGCUGGGCCUUACUUCUUGGUGAGCCGGCCUGCCCUUUAUUGGUGUGCGUCGGGGAACCAGGACUUUUACCUUGAGAAAAUUAUAGUGUUCAAAGCAGGCCUAUGCCUGAAUACAUUAGCAUGGAAUAAUAGAAUAGGACGUGCGGUUCUAUUUUGUUGGUUUCUACAGUCGCCGUAAUGAUUAAUAGGGACAGUUGGGGGCAUUGGUAUUGAGUCGCUAGAGGUGAAAUUCUUGGAUUGACUCAAGACCGACUAUUGCGAAAGCAUUUUCCAAGGAUGUUUUCAUUAAUCAAGAACGAAGGUUAGGGGAUCGAAAACGAUCAGAUACCGUUGUAGUCUUAACAGUAAACUAUGCCGACUAGGGAUCGGAUGACCUCAAAAUUGAUGUGUCAUUCGGCACCUUACUAGAAAUCAAAGUCUUUGGGUUCUGGGGGGAGUAUGGUCGCAAGGCUGAAACUUAAAGGAAUUGACGGAAGGGCACCCCCAGGUGUGGAGCCUGCGGCUUAAUUUGACUCAACACGGGGAAACUCACCAGGUCCAGACAUAACUAGGAUUGACAGAUUGAUAGCUCUUUCAUGAUUUUAUGGGUGGUGGUGCAUGGCCGUUCUUAGUUGGUGGAGUGAUUUGUCUGGUUAAUUCCGAUAACGAACGAGACCUUAACCUGCUAAAUAGCCAGGCCGGCUUCGGCUGGUCUCUGGCUUCUUAGAGGGACUGUCAG
Molecule: ribosomal RNA, 732 nt
Filed under: uncultured eukaryote
Lineage: Eukaryota
Description: SSU rRNA
Rfam family: Eukaryotic small subunit ribosomal RNA
Source: RNAcentral